RNAcentral lists this long non-coding RNA (949 nucleotides) under Zostera marina. RNAcentral describes it as "long non-coding RNA (ZMAR_LNC004770)". The record is from RNAcentral. Lineage: Eukaryota; Viridiplantae; Streptophyta; Magnoliopsida; Alismatales; Zosteraceae.
CCAUCUAACUUUGUUACUCCAAGAAUUAUAGUCCCACAUCGAUUGGGAAUAUAUUUAUUCUAACUUUAUAUACUUCAUUUCACUUUAUUUUAAUACAGGAAUUAUCACAAGCGCUCACCCUAGCUGAGUCGUUUGAUGUAGUCCCUUUCAUCACAACUGUCUUUCAUUUAAUAGUUUUUUAUUGUUGUUUUUGGACAUAUCUUCAUGUAACAAAGAUUCAUCUACACCUACAUAUGACUUUGCCUACACCUACAUUGUACCUUACCUGUUAUUUGUACCUUACCUCACAUGUCACACGCAAUCUCACCUCCACCCAUCUUCUUCUUCAUUUUUUUCAUACUCAUCUUUUUCAUUUUUUUUCAAUUCGCCGAUGGAAACCCAUUUUCUUCUUGUUCUCGCUGGAAACACAUCUUCAAUCUGUACGUCGAAUAUAUUUUUGCAAGACGUUUUUUUUCCGUCCGUGAAUCAUCAAUCUGUUAAUCCUCAUCUCCUACUCUUCAUUCAUACCAUCUCCUCAUUGUAAGAGACAUGGUGUUCGAUUUUUUUUUAGUUUUCUGUUGGUGUAAUAUAAUUUCAUUAGGUUUUUUCUAUUGUGUGUUUUAUAUUUCAUUGGUGUGAUACAAUUUCUCGGUCAAAGAGUUGAAAUACAUGUUCUUAAGGUGUAAUACAUGUUCCUGAAGUUGUUGAAAUCAUUGUUCCUGAAAUGUUUGAAACCGUUCUUCCUGAAUUUGUUGAUACCGUUGUCCCAUAAAUGGUUUCAACCAACGAUCGUGAAUUCGUUGAAAUCAUUGUUCCUCAAUUGUUUAAUUAAACCCGUUGCUUUUCAAAUGGUCUUAACCAAUGUGUUUCUAAAAUGGUUUAACCAAUGGUCCUGAAAUGUCGAAACCGUUGUUUCUGAAUUGGGCGAUACCCUUGUUCCUCAAAUGGUUUCAAACAAUGUUUCUAAAAU